Oncorhynchus tshawytscha (Chinook salmon) is the source of this 494-nucleotide long non-coding RNA. The record is from Ensembl. Lineage: Eukaryota; Metazoa; Chordata; Actinopteri; Salmoniformes; Salmonidae.
GGUUAAUAGACAGGUAUAUAGGCCCUGGGUUAAUAGACAGGUAUAUAGCCCCUGGGUUAAUAGACAGGUAUAUAGCCCCUGAGUUAAUAGACAGGUAUAUAGGCCCUGGGUUAAUAGACAGGUAUAUAGCCCCUGGGUUAAUAGACAGGUACAGUGCCUUGCGAAAGUAUUCGGCCCCCUUGAACUUUGCCUCCUUUUGCCACAUUUCAGGCUUCAAACAUAAAGAUAUAAAACUGUAUUUUUUUGUGAAGAAUCAACAACAAGUGGGACACAAUCAUGGAACGACAUUUAUUGGAUAUUUUAAACUUUCAUAAGAGAGAUGUGUUUUGGAGUUGACAUCAAAGAGAGAUGUGUUUUGGAGUUGACAUCAAAGAGAGAUGUGUUUUGGAGUUGACAUCAAAGAGAGAUGUGUUUUGGAGUUGACAUCAAAGAGAGAUGUGUUUUGGAGUUGACGUCAUAAGAGAGAUGUGUUUUGGAGUUGACAUCAUAAGCAG